Molecule: ribosomal RNA, 656 nt
Filed under: uncultured bacterium
Lineage: Bacteria
Description: bacterial SSU rRNA
Rfam family: Bacterial small subunit ribosomal RNA
Source: RNAcentral
AAGUCGUACGGAACGUAGCAAUACGUUUAGUGGCGGAAGGGUGAGUAAUGCAUGGGUAACGUACCCCGAUCGUUGGAACAACCAUGGGAAACUGUGGCUAAUACCAGAUAAUGUCCUUGGGCGGCAUCGCCUGAAGACCAAAGGUGGGGACCGCAAGGCCUACCAGAUUGGGAGCGACCCAUGUCCUAUCAGCUAGUUGGUGAGGUAACGGCUCACCAAGGCGUAGACGGGUAACCGGACUGAGAGGUCGGCCGGUCACAUCGGGACUGAGACACUGCCCGGACACCUACGGGUGGCUGCAGUAACGAAUAUUGGGCAAUGGGCGAAAGCCUGACCCAGCAAUGCCGCGUGCAGGAGGAAGUCCUUCGGGAUGUAAACUGCUGUCAGGGGCUAACAAGCAAUGGACCUAAUACGUCCGUAGUUGAGUCGCCCCAGAGGAAGCCUCGACUAACUCUGUGCCAGCAGUCGCGGUAAUACAGAGGAGGCAAGCGUUAUUCGGAAUCAUUGGGCUUAAAGCGCGUGUAGGCGGCUUGGUAAGCGUCCCGUGAAAUCUCACUGCUCAACGGUGAGACUGCGGGGCGAACUGCCUGGCUUGAGGUUGGUAGAGGUGCCUGGAACUCUAGGUGGAGCGGUGAAAUGCGUAGAUAUCUAGAGGA